Molecule: unclassified non-coding RNA, 268 nt
Filed under: fungal sp.
Lineage: Eukaryota; Fungi
Description: partial internal transcribed spacer region
Rfam family: Eukaryotic small subunit ribosomal RNA (bases 1-46)
Source: RNAcentral
AAGUCGUAACAAGGUCUCCGUUGGUGAACCAGCGGAGGGAUCAUUACAGAGUUUACACGACUCACUAGACCAACGUGAACGUUACCUCACCGUUGCUUCGGCGGGAGGCGCCCGUGUACAUCCCCUGUAAUAGGGGGGCGCACGGCGCCCCCGGACCCCCGCAGGGGCGCCCGCCGGAGGAAUCCCAAAACCCCUCUGGCAGCACUUGGCCUCUCUGAGUUUGUACUGAAUGCAGUCAAAACUUUCAACAACGGAUCUCUUGGUUCUG